This 468-nucleotide ribosomal RNA is filed under the name uncultured bacterium. RNAcentral's name for it is "partial 16S ribosomal RNA". It matches the Rfam family "Bacterial small subunit ribosomal RNA", at positions 28 to 507 of the family's 1533-position model. The record is from RNAcentral.
GACGAACGCUGGCGGCGUGCUUAACACGUGCAAGUCGAGCGGAAAGGCCCUGCUUUUGUGGGGUGCUCGAGUGGCGAACGGGUGAGUAACACGUGAGUAACCUGCCCUUGACUUUGGGAUAACUUCAGGAAACUGGGGCUAAUACCGGAUAGGAGCUCCUGCUGCAUGGUGGGGGUUGGAAAGUUUCGGCGGUUGGGGAUGGACUCGCGGCUUAUCAGCUUGUUGGUGGGGUAGUGGCUUACCAAGGCUUUGACGGGUAGCCGGCCUGAGAGGGUGACCGGCCACAUUGGGACUAAGAUACGGCCCAGACUCCUACGGGAGGCAGCAGUGGGGAAUAUUGCACAAUGGGCGGAAGCCUGAUGCAGCAACGCCGCGUGCGGGAUGACGGCCUUCGGGUUGUAAACCGCUUUCGCCUGUGACGAAGCGUGAGUGACGGUAAUGGGUAAAGAAGCACCGGCUAACUACGUG